UAGGAUGGCUAGCCUCAGAUUGUACUAUCC
RNAcentral lists this non-coding RNA (30 nucleotides) under Mus musculus (house mouse). The record is from RNAcentral. Lineage: Eukaryota; Metazoa; Chordata; Mammalia; Rodentia; Muridae.